This 682-nucleotide long non-coding RNA is filed under the name Homo sapiens (human). Its description in RNAcentral is "long non-coding RNA NONHSAT159622.1". Lineage: Eukaryota; Metazoa; Chordata; Mammalia; Primates; Hominidae. The record is from RNAcentral.
UUCAAGAAUAAAGGUUCUCUUCAGUUUGAAGACAAAUGGGAUUUUAUGCGCCCGAUUGUUUUGAAGCUUUUACGCCAGGAAUCUGUUACAAAACAGCAGUGGUUUGAUCUGUUUUCGGAUGUGCAUGCAGUCUGUCUUUGGGAUGAUAAAGGCCCAGCAAAAAUUCAUCAGGCUUUAAAAGAAGAUAUUCUUGAGUUUAUUAAGCAAGCACAGGCACGAGUACUGAGCCAUCAAGAUGAUACGGCUUUGCUAAAAGCAUAUAUUGUUGAAUGGCGAAAGUUCUUUACACAAUGUGAUAUUUUACCAAAACCUUUUUGUCAACUAGAGAUUACUUUAAUGGGUAAACAGGGCAGCAAUAAAAAAUCAAAUGUGGAAGACAGUAUUGUUCGAAAGCUUAUGCUUGAUACAUGGAAUGAGUCAAUCUUUUCAAACAUAAAAAACAGACUCCAAGAUAGUGCAAUGAAGCUGGUACAUGCUGAGAGAUUGGGAGAAGCUUUUGAUUCUCAGCUGGUUAUUGGAGUAAGAGAAUCCUAUGUUAACCUUUGUUCUAAUCCUGAGGAUAAACUUCAAAUUUAUAGGGACAAUUUUGAGAAGGCAUACUUGGAUUCAACAGAGAGAUUUUAUAGAACACAAGCACCCUCGUAUUUACAACAAAAUGGUGUACAGAAUUAUAUGAAAUAUG